Molecule: ribosomal RNA, 235 nt
Filed under: uncultured bacterium
Lineage: Bacteria
Description: partial 16S ribosomal RNA
Rfam family: Bacterial small subunit ribosomal RNA
Source: RNAcentral
CGGACGGGUGAGUAACGCGUGGGUAACCUACCCUGUACACACGGAUAACAUACCGAAAGGUAUGCUAAUACGGGAUAAUAUAUUUGAGAGGCAUCUCUUGAAUAUCAAAGGUGAGCCAGUACAGGAUGGACCCGCGUCUGAUUAGCUAGUUGGUAAGGUAACGGCUUGCCAAGGCGACGAUCAGUAGCCGACCUGAGAGGGUGAACGGCCACAUUGGGACUGAGACACGGCCCAG